UCGCGCCUCCUUGGUUAGUCCCUCCUCAUCCUUUUCUCCUCUGCAUGAAUCGUCUUCCUCACUCGGUCGUCAUUGGUGCACUGCUCACAAAGCUUCGUGUUACUUCAUGUCCGCAGACUGCGUUGCUGUAGGCUAGGAGAGGAUCCAAGAGAUGGUCUACUGGCAGGAUGUGCCUCAACCAGUAAUGCCAUUUCCUCUCUUGUCCACAAAGCUAUUAUUGCCAUAUCACUCAAGCAUAGUUCAAUCUGGGACUCAUUUCACUUUGCAGUAUGAUUACAAUAGUUGUGGUUCCAAGAGUUUGUAGUAAGAUUAGGCUGCUAUCUAUGGUAUAGUAACAAAUGUUUUCAGAGUAUAUGCUUGUUUUCAUCUAUAGUUGGUGUAUGCGUUUGCUGGCAAGAGAUUAAAGGAUAUGCUUGUUUUGUAUUAUUGAUCCAUGACAUAUAGUAAUUCAUAUGAUUCGCUAACAAAACUUGCAGGAGUAAAUCAUUCUAAAUGUUUGUUCUUGUUUACCAAACUUCUUAGCUAGGAUAGAAAAUGAGAAGCCCAUUGUAUGUCCAUUGUAAACAUCCCCAUAAUUCUUAGAUAGAAUGGUCGUGGUGAUGUGCUCCUCUAUUAGUUUAUUACUUGGAUAAAUCGUAUGAGAAUGGAUGCAUGAAUUUUUUUGAUUCUAAGCUUUUAAUGGUUCAAUGCUCGUCAAAUGCAAAAGUUCUUCAGUUCAUUGUGUAUCUUCUGUGUGUUGGAGUUAGUGGGUUAGUGGUAGGGCUUUAGCCAACUUUAUAUUCUUAACUCUUGUACUGGAUGGCUUCCGGGUCUAUCUCUAUGGAUGAACUCGAUAGUUCAUAUAGAAUGGUUAAUAUUCAAUGUGAAGUGUUAGAAAAUUUCUUUAUUUCGGUUCAGCACUAUGUGCAAAUGUUUAACAUUUCCUCAAGGGCGCAUAUUUUCUAAACAACCGUAUGCUUCAUUCAUUGAUACUUUAAAAAUGAUAUAUUUGAUUGAAUGCAUUCUCUUUUUUUCUGUGGACAUAAUUGCUAUUUCCCUUUUUUGUGGACAUAUUUGAUAUUUGGCUCACAAAAAUAAAAGGAAAAUCUUAUAAGUUGUCAUGCUUGCCUCAAAUGUAGGAAUAUCAUUUAAAACCCGUCUAUACUAUUGUGCUCUCUUUACGUUCGAAUUAAUUACACAUCCUUGUUUACAAGAAGUGCCUAGCAUGUCUGUGUUUAGUUUGAGCUUCUUGGUUGCAAGAAGGCAACGCUGAAAAGCUCAUAUGUUAUUGCUUCCAUAAUUAUAUAUGCCUCAUAUGUGUUUGCUGUUAUGCAUUUUUCAUGUUAUAUAUGCCUCACUGUCACUAUAAUGUGCUAAUUAUUGUACCUUAAUUUGUGUCUGCAGGAUCCAACUGAAUAAUUCAGGCCAUGUUUUCUUCUUCUCCGACUCCUCACAAAUUAACCAUAGUCUCCUCUCAGAAAAAUCGUAGCCACAAUAAAAAUUGAGGUGUUGUGGCCAUUGAUUUUUUUUUUAAUUCCCAGAUAUGUGAAGUCCAUUUAGUAUUAAUCAGAGUUGGUUACCACACAUACUUAUUAGAGUUGACACUGCUUAUUAGUGAGUGUGUAAUGCCUUAGCAGCAAGGAAUUUUAUUAUAUGUACAUAUGUGAUUUUGCCUGUUAUAUUCCGAAGAAAACAUCUAUACGGUGUUGUUAGUCCCAUGUGCUAGUUUGUUACCCUGCUACUACAGACUAGUGCAAGCAAACUUUUAUUUUUUAGAUCAGUGCAUAUAGUAAUCACGAAGUGAAUAUGCAAGUGACGUGCUUGUUUCCAAAUUGCUAGUACAGUAGUGCCAUUCCAGAACUACUACAAUAUUUAUAAUUCUUUGGCAGCAAAGACCAUAUUUUUUUGCAUUACUUCCUGAUAGUUACACACAAUCAAUACUUUCUGACUUAGUACUAGUCAUCGUGAAUGUUGAGUAGUAAACUGUACCCUCGUGCAUUAUUUUUGCAACAUGGUUAAUAUUUUGAACUACUGUCUAAGGAGGAAUACUUGUAAUUAUAUCAGUCUAUAUACAAACCUGAGAAUUCUGAAUACAAAUUCAUGGAAUAUUCAGUGUGCUAUUUACUGGAAAUUAUUUAUCUUGUAAUAAAAUUAUUAUGUAUGUUUUUUUGAAACUAAUGUUUGAUUGUUCCAAAUGCACAGGAUGUUUUGCAAUCCAGAAGUAGAGGGAAGAAGCUGUGUUUUUCAUUUGUAGUUCCAUGUGAUCAACCAAGUAUUAUAUGAACUAUUUUGUCGUCCACUUGUUGUCCUUGAUGUGUAGAGGAGUUGAGGGAUGAUGUAUAUUAUUUUCUUUGAUAGCUAUUGCUGAAAUGAAGAUAUAUUUUAUGUGGAAUAUGUUUGUAUUGUAUUUAAUUAGUAGAUGGGUCUAUCUUACAAACGUGAAGCACUUAUUUAUCUGGACGUUGUAAAAACAAGGCCCAAUUAAUUAGAAAAACUAUCAAAUAACUGGGCUGAACUGGGCCAAACAAUUGGGC
Molecule: long non-coding RNA, 2513 nt
Filed under: Hordeum vulgare
Lineage: Eukaryota; Viridiplantae; Streptophyta; Magnoliopsida; Poales; Poaceae
Description: long non-coding RNA (HVUL_LNC005466)
Source: RNAcentral